Long non-coding RNA from Brassica rapa (field mustard), 413 nucleotides. RefSeq lists it as uncharacterized. The record is from RefSeq and is a predicted model, not a curated record. Lineage: Eukaryota; Viridiplantae; Streptophyta; Magnoliopsida; Brassicales; Brassicaceae.
AAAGUAUUUACCAAAAACUCAAUAUUUUUGUAGAGGUUAACACAUAGAUUUUGAGAAAAUUUCAAAAAAUACGAAAAUAUUGUUUUAAUGCACAGUUGCAUCUUGUACUAAUAUAUGUUGAUGGUGAAAGAGGUUUAAAAUAUUUUUUGUCUCCAUUUCUCUAGAUAAUAGCGAUUUUAUAAUGGUUAGUUUCCUAAUUUAGGGAAUAUAUGAAGUUUUACUAAAUUAAAUUAUAAAAACAAUUUAACUAUGCUCAUUUACCAUUAAAAAGAGUUUAGAAUAUAUUAAUACAAAUGAAGAAUAUGGUGAGAAAUUUUAAAAUAACACUAAAUAUUAUACGCUUCGGUAUAUAAAGUAUUGAACAAAAACUCUAUAUUUUUUAGGGGUUAACACAUAGAUUUUGAGAAAAAAUU